RNAcentral lists this ribosomal RNA (495 nucleotides) under uncultured bacterium. Its description in RNAcentral is "partial 16S ribosomal RNA". It matches the Rfam family "Bacterial small subunit ribosomal RNA", at positions 28 to 507 of the family's 1533-position model. The record is from RNAcentral.
GACGAACGCUGGCGGCGUGCCUAAUACAUGCAAGUAGAACGCUGAAGGAGGAGCUUGCUCUUCUGGAUGAGUUGCGAACGGGUGAGUAACGCGUAGGUAACCUGCCUGGUAGCGGGGGAUAACUAUUGGAAACGAUAGCUAAUACCGCAUAAUAGUAGAUGUUGCAUGAUAUUUACUUAAAAGGUGCAAUUGCACCACUACCAGAUGGACCUGCGUUGUAUUAGCUAGUUGGUGGGGUAACGGCUCACCAAGGCGACGAUACAUAGCCGACCUGAGAGGGGGAUAGGCCACACUGGGACUGAGACACGGCCCAGACUCCUACGGGGGGCAGCAGUAGGGAAUCUUCGGCAAUGGACGAGAGUCUGACCGAGCAACGCCGCGUGAGUGAAGAAGGUUUUCGGAUCGUAAAGCUCUGUUGUAAGAGAAGAACGAGUGUGAGAGUGGAAAGUUCACACUGUGACGGUAUCUUAACAGAAAGGGACGGCUAACUACGUG